CUCUCCGCCCUCGGCGCUGCCGUCCCCAACGCCGCAGAGCUCAGCGCCGAGCACAAGGCCAACCUCGUGGAGUCGAUUAAGAACACGCUGCAGGGAUUGGCGGCCCGGCACACGGACGUGCUCGAGAGCCUGGAGCCCAAGGUCAGGAAGCGGGUCGAGGCGCUCAGAGAGAUCCAGGUAUAA
This is a long non-coding RNA of Hordeum vulgare subsp. vulgare (domesticated barley), 183 nucleotides long. RefSeq lists it as uncharacterized. The transcript has 3 exons. The record is from RefSeq and is a predicted model, not a curated record. NCBI's taxonomy places the organism in Eukaryota, Viridiplantae, Streptophyta, Magnoliopsida, Poales, Poaceae.